Long non-coding RNA from Armigeres subalbatus, 1811 nucleotides. RefSeq lists it as uncharacterized. Lineage: Eukaryota; Metazoa; Arthropoda; Insecta; Diptera; Culicidae. The transcript has 3 exons. The record is from RefSeq and is a predicted model, not a curated record.
UGCCACCAGAUUGGACAAAUCGACGUUUGCAUCUUUGUUUACAAAGUCACAUACGUCCUUUUGAAUAAGUACUCGAGAUUUUGUGGCUAUCAGAUCGAUUACUCCAACGCGUGCUUCAAGUUAGAACAAUUUUGUUUUGUGAAAAUGAUUUCUAAUUCAUCAUCGAAAAUUGAUAAAAGUAUUAUGCCGGUUACAGUGCAAAGAUGACGACCGUUUUGCCAAACACAUGACGAAACACGGGCGCAUAUUUGGUUUCAUUCGUCAGGUUGAUGACUACAUUCUGGAGGAAUCGAGUUUUUCCGUGCGUUUGGACUACCGUCCCGAUUACGCCAGAACGUUGGUGUACGUGCGGAACGUGUCACCCCAUUCGGUGUUGCUAAGUACAAAAUCGAUGAAGCUAGACUAGUGCCCGGUAUUUCAGAGAAGUACUAUCGUUUGUCGAUCGAUCAAUUUCAAACGGCACCCACCCAGUCGGCUCUUAUUUCAGCUGGAAUACUAUGUCCUAUCUUUGGUGAAGGAAACUGACUUUGAAAAAACAUUGUUCCCUAAGCCACCGAUGGAAAAGAAGAUCAUAUACGAGAGCUUUCAAUGGUUCAACAAAUCACGAGCAGCUGUCUGCUAUGCGAAAUAUCGUGAAUCGGACUUCGUUCCCUGCUCCGUACAUAUUAUUUGGACCACCCGGUACUGGAAAAACUUCAACUAUCGUAGAGGCAGUUUUACAAAUUUGGAAACUACAACCCAAUGCCAACGUUCUCGUAUCGGCAGCUUCAAAUUUCGCCUGUGAUGAAUUCACCACGCGCCUGCUGGAAUUCAUUCCCGCCACCGAUGUGUUCCGUUUCGUAUCCUUCGUAUCGAUUUUGCUGAUAACGGAACAACACCAUCGUUCUCAAAAGAGCAGUGGAGGUUUUGAGGAAGGUGGUGAGUAUCGUUGCGGCCCCGACUACGAAUAUCCGGAAGGCGGUGCAUCAUACGAGGAAAAUUCAUCGUACGGCUAUGGUGGAAGACCGUUCCGCGGCCGUGGAGGAUUCCGCGGACGUGGUGGUUUCCGUGGCGGUUUUCAUCGUGAUGGCCCACCGCACCACGGGGACAAUGAUGAAUGGCGUCGAUCAGGAGUCGAUGGCAAAUAUGAUUCACGUCGUCGUUCGUGAACCAGGAAUCGAUAGAUCUCGCUCCCGUUCACCGAGGCGACGCAGUCCUGCUGAUUCUGAUUCGUCUUCUUGUAGGAAUGGCAUGUUAUCAAAUGCAAGAACGUUACGAAGAAGUGGCACGGAAAUCUACCACAGUCUGGCAAGGGGCGCUGAUUUUGAACACUAUUCCCCGCCAAGUUGCACCUAACGGACAGAGACCACGAAAUAGUGGACAGCCUGAUGAAGGACGAGGAAGGUAAACACCACCUUCGUAUUACUCAGCGACUAGGCCUCGAUCAACCCAAGUUGGAAAAUGUGCAGAAGCGCAUAUCGACGUCAUCGUCGCACGCAAUCUUCCUCGGCCUGCCGGGAUCGACGUCAUCGGUAGCAUCGUCGGAUGAUGCCAGCGUUCAGACGCGUCCACUGCGUAAUCUCGUGUCCUACCUGAAGCAGAAAGAAGCGGCCGGCGUUAUAUCCUUACUCAAUAAAGAAACGGAAGCAACCGGUGUGCUCUACUCAUUCCCGCCAUGCGAUUUUUCGACUGAAUUGUUGAAACAAACAUGUCACAACCUCACCGAGGAGGGACUGAAGGAAGACCAUCUGGUAAUCGUGGUGGUCCGAGGAGGAACAAUCCUCUGGAGUGCCUUCUUUCUGGUAUUGCAGCAACUAGUCCAUAUUGGCACA